GUCACGUCCCGCGCCAGCUUUGGAUGAAGAGUGGCCCAAACAGAAGGACACAGCUUCAGUCAGACUCACUUUACAAGGCUGUCAAAGACGCAAGCACCAGCUGCGAGAGUAGACCUGAAACGAGCACGUGGAGCUGGCUCCACACGCAUCUUCACCGGUGAGGGCCUCCUGACUAGAGCGCGAAAGAGGCUCCCCCACAAGCCUGCCAACACGCUCCCAGAUUUCCAUGAGCGGCCGAGUCCACCUUGACCCGCAGCCCACGCCGGUGCAGGGCCAGGCCAAAAACCUGCUGGAUUUGCCAAUUGGAAGUACUGACCUACGACUUACCCGUUCCCGAUGCAUUCGGACAGGGGAUUCCGGAGUGAAGCUGCUCCACUCUGGGACAGGUGCCAAUUGCUCACAAAAGGCGAGUGAAAAUAUCAGUGAUCUGCACAAGGAAACGUCGGGGGUGAGUGGAAAAUGCAAACUCGCAUGCAUCCGUGCAACUAACGCAGAAAAAAGUGAAGGAUGGUUGCGAGGGGAGGGGAAGACACAGAAAAAGAGGAUCGUGAAAGAAGAGGUGGGGGCGUUUAUUCAAGCCUGUUUGAUGCUCCUCGGGCCUUCGAGAGCCGAUCGCAUGUGCCGUGGUAACUGCGGGACCAUUUGCAUGUGGCAGACACGCUAA
Molecule: long non-coding RNA, 664 nt
Organism: Cyprinus carpio (common carp)
Lineage: Eukaryota; Metazoa; Chordata; Actinopteri; Cypriniformes; Cyprinidae
Source: Ensembl